UCUGUCGGUCGGUCCUAUUCUUCGGGUGCUUUCUGGCUUUCUACUAGGCUGGUCGAUCGACCUGAGCGUACAUCGCACAACAAAAAAAAAAA
RNAcentral lists this non-coding RNA (92 nucleotides) under Stygamoeba regulata. The record is from RNAcentral. Lineage: Eukaryota; Discosea; Stygamoebida.